RNAcentral lists this ribosomal RNA (589 nucleotides) under uncultured bacterium. RNAcentral describes it as "partial 16S ribosomal RNA". It matches the Rfam family "Bacterial small subunit ribosomal RNA", at positions 355 to 1375 of the family's 1533-position model. The record is from RNAcentral.
UGGGGAAUAUUGGACAAUGGGCGAAAGCCUGAUCCAGCCAUGCCGCGUGUGUGAAGAAGGUCUUCGGAUUGUAAAGCACUUUAAGUUGGGAGGAAGGGCAGUAAGCUAAUACCUUGCUGUUUUGACGUUACCGACAGAAUAAGCACCGGCUAACUUCGUGCCAGCAGCCGCGGUAAUACGAAGGGUGCAAGCGUUAAUCGGAAUUACUGGGCGUAAAGCACGCGUAGGUGGUUCGUUAAGUUGGAUGUGAAAGCCCCGGGCUCAACCUGGGAACUGCAUCCAAAACUGGCGAGCUAGAGUAUGGUAGAGGGUGGUGGAAUUUCCUGUGUAGCGGUGAAAUGCGUAGAUAUAGGAAGGAACACCAGUGGCGAAGGCGACCACCUGGACUGAUACUGACACUGAGGUGCGAAAAGCGUGGGGAGCAAAACAGGAUUUAGAUACCCUGGUAGUCCACGCCGUAAACGUGUCAACUAGCCGUUGGGUUCCUUGAGAACUUAGUGGCGCAGCUAACGCAUUAAGUUGACCGCCUGGGGAGUACGGCCGCAAGGUUAAAACUUAAAGGGAAUUGACGGGGUCAUAGCUGUUUCCU